CUAGAUAGCCGGAUGGUCGCUGUAUUAAUACAGAGGAAAGUCCGGGCUCCAUGGAGAAACAGUGCCGGAUAACGUCCGGCGGAGGAGACUUUAGGGAAAGUGCCACAGAAAAUAUACCGCCAUAAUUUUAUUAUUAAGGUAAGGGUGAAAUGGUGAGGUAAGAGCGCACCGCAUUACUGGUAACAGUAAUGGCAGGGUAAACCCCACUGGGAGCAAGACCAAAUAGAGGUAACGUAACAUUUGUUAAGUGUUCUUCACAUUAGUUGCCUGGGUAGGUUGCAUGAGGAUUAUGGUAACAUAAUUCCUAGAUGAAUGGCCAUCAGAUAAGAGUAAUCUUAUUUACAGAACCCGGCUUAUAGGCUGUCUAGCAAA
This 372-nucleotide RNase P RNA is filed under the name Hyphomicrobiales bacterium. RNAcentral describes it as "RNase P RNA component class A". It matches the Rfam family "Bacterial RNase P class A". Rfam says of the family: Ribonuclease P (RNase P) is a ubiquitous endoribonuclease, found in archaea, bacteria and eukarya as well as chloroplasts and mitochondria. Lineage: Bacteria; Pseudomonadati; Pseudomonadota; Alphaproteobacteria; Hyphomicrobiales. RNAcentral also lists the same sequence under 1 other name. The record is from RNAcentral.